AACUUUCGACGACGGAUCACUUGGCUCUCGCAUCGAUGAAGAACGCAGCGAAAUGCGAUAAGUAAUGUGAAUUGCAGAAUUCAGUGAAUCAUCGAAUCUUUGAACGCACCUUGCACCCUUUGGCAUUCCGAAGGGUAUGCUCGUUUGAGUGUCAUUGUACUCUCAUGCUCCCGAUGCUUUUGGAUCGGGAGUGGUGGACUUGGGUGUUGCUGCUUUACUGUGGCUCACCUCAAAUGGAGUAGUGCAACUCUUGGUUGGACAUAGUACGGCGUGAUAAGUGUCUUCGCCGGCGCAUCAUUAGAGGGUGGCCGAUCGGGAGCUCUGUGCUUCAAACCGUCUUCGGACAACAUCUGACAACUUGACCUCAAAUCGAGUAGGACUACCCGCUGAACUUAAGCAUAUCAAUAAGCGGAGGCU
This 417-nucleotide unclassified non-coding RNA is filed under the name uncultured Sebacina. RNAcentral's name for it is "sequence contains ITS2". The stretch from base 1 to 154 matches the Rfam family "5.8S ribosomal RNA". Lineage: Eukaryota; Fungi; Basidiomycota; Agaricomycetes; Sebacinales; Sebacinaceae. The record is from RNAcentral.